AAAAGACUUAGUCCUAACCUUACUAUUAAUUCUCGCCAGACCUAUACAUGCAAGUAUCCGCGCCCCAGUGUAAAUGCCCUCAACCCCUACCAAGACAAGAGGAGCAGGCAUCAGGCACACACCUACCGUAGCCCAAAACGCCUUGCACAGCCACACCCCCACGGGCACUCAGCAGUAACUAACAUUAAGCAAUAAGUGCAAACUUGACUUAGUCAUGGUGACCCAGGGUUGGUAAAUCUUGUGCCAGCCACCGCGGCCAUACAAGAAACCCAAAUUAAUCGUAUACGGCGUAAAGAGUGGCCCAACAUUAUCGUCCCUAACUGCGGUUAAAGUCCACCCAAGCUGUCAUAAGCUUAAGAUGCCCCUAAAUCCCCCCAAACACCUCAGCCUCCACGAUCGACCAACCCCACGAAAGCCGAGAGACAAACUGGGAUUAGAUACCCCACUAUGCUCGGCCAUAAAUCCAGAUGCUUAUCCUACCCAAACAUCCGCCAGGGGACUACGAGCACAAACGCUUAAAACCCUAAGGACUUGGCGGUGUCUCAAACCCACCUAGAGGAGCCUGUUCUAUAAUCGAUAACCCACGCUACACCCAACCCCUCCUUGUCCAACAGCCUACAUACCGCCGUCGUCAGCUCACCUCCCCUGAGAGACAAACAGUGAACACAAUAGCCCCCCGCUAAAAAGACAGGUCAAGGUAUAGCCCAUGGAGGGGAAGAAAUGGGCUACAUUUUCUGAUACAGACAACCCACGAAAGAGAGUUUGAAACAACUCCCAGAAGGCGGAUUUAGCAGUAAAACAUGACCAUCAUGCCCAUUUUAAGCCGGCCCUGAGACACGUACAUACCGCCCGUCACCCUCCUCACAAGCUACACCCACAUAAACUAUAACUACAACCAGCUAAAGACGAGGUAAGUCGUAACAAGGUAAGUGUACCGGAAGGUGCACUUAGCAUAC
Molecule: non-coding RNA, 956 nt
Filed under: Sasia abnormis (rufous piculet)
Lineage: Eukaryota; Metazoa; Chordata; Aves; Piciformes; Picidae
Description: 12S ribosomal RNA
Rfam family: Bacterial small subunit ribosomal RNA
Source: RNAcentral